AGAGUUUGAUCCUGGCUCAGAUUGAACGCUGGCGGCAGGCCUAACACAUGCAAGUCGAACGGUAACAGGAAGCAGCUUGCUGCUUCGCUGACGAGUGGCGGACGGGUGAGUAAUGUCUGGGAAACUGCCUGAUGGAGGGGGAUAACUACUGGAAACGGUAGCUAAUACCGCAUAAYGUCGCAAGACCAAAGAGGGGGACCUUCGGGCCUCUUGCCAUCGGAUGUGCCCAGAUGGGAUUAGCUAGUAGGUGGGGUAACGGCUCACCUAGGCGACGAUCCCUAGCUGGUCUGAGAGGAUGACCAGCCACACUGGAACUGAGACACGGUCCAGACUCCUACGGGAGGCAGCAGUGGGGAAUAUUGCACAAUGGGCGCAAGCCUGAUGCAGCCAUGCCGCGUGUAUGAAGAAGGCCUUCGGGUUGUAAAGUACUUUCAGCGGGGAGGAAGGCGAUAAGGUUAAUAACCUUGUCGAUUGACGUUACCCGCAGAAGAAGCACCGGCUAACUCCGUGCCAGCAGCCGCGGUAAU
This 527-nucleotide ribosomal RNA is filed under the name uncultured Enterobacteriaceae bacterium. RNAcentral's name for it is "bacterial SSU rRNA". It matches the Rfam family "Bacterial small subunit ribosomal RNA", at positions 8 to 524 of the family's 1533-position model. Lineage: Bacteria; Pseudomonadati; Pseudomonadota; Gammaproteobacteria; Enterobacterales; Enterobacteriaceae. The record is from RNAcentral.